RNAcentral lists this small RNA (2553 nucleotides) under Arabidopsis thaliana (thale cress). RNAcentral describes it as "ATSL193370". The record is from RNAcentral. Lineage: Eukaryota; Viridiplantae; Streptophyta; Magnoliopsida; Brassicales; Brassicaceae.
AAUAGGUUUUUAAGAUCAAUUAAUCCUAAAGCACUAUCAUGUCGUUGUAGUCUUUUAGGUUGUCAAUCCAAAUGGGUGUCAUGCUAACAAUCAAGAUGUGAUCAGAAGUCACUAAGUCAAGCAAAGCAAUAACAUGUUUUGGUGUGUUCUAGCAGUUCUAAAUGAACAUGCAUAAAACAGAAAUUCAAGCAGAAACAAUAAAACACUCGACCAACACAACUCUUUGCAGAGCACUGGGUGAGGUCGAGUGACAGGUCGAGUAACAGACAGAAAGUAUAACACAGUUAUUCGACUGCAUAGUCUGUUGCCAGACAACUGGGUGGUCGAGUAACGAAAAAGAAUUGUAGAAAUUAAGCAACAGAUGACAAGAUGCAGUAAACAACAGUAGUGUAAACAAAGAAUUCAAUCAGAUAAAGAAUUCUCGAGGAUGGGGUAAUUGAGUAGUUUCGUUUCCUCAGUUUACAAGUGAUUGACAUGCUCAAUAAAUUAUCCCUAGACAACAAGUUCGUUAACCAAAUCUAAGUGUCACCGCAAUAGAGAUCCUCAAGUUAACCUAGUCCCAGACUCAAUCACCAUUGACGAGAGCUCACCUAACAUGCAUUACGAAUCAACAAGUUAAAGCCAAAACGCUCCCUGCAACCAAUACCUUGGUACAGGGCCAUGAAUCUCUGGAAUUAGUGGUUCAGACAUUUCAUCGAACAUCUUUUGGGCGCGGAAAUGUCUGGGCUCAAAUUCCAGUUGAUCAGAAAGCAAUAGGCAUUAAGAACAACUAAUCCAGAAGGGAUCUAUCAAUCAAUACUCAACCACCUAACAUACUGAGAAUUCUACACUACUCUAACCCAUCCUCAGAAACCUAUUCACUACUUAGACAUCAUAGCAGAAAGCAUAAACGUUGAACAGGUUGAAAACAUGAUAACAACAGUGUAACAGCAGGAUGAUAACAGAAUGAACAACAGUAAAAGAAAUCAAAAAUAAAUACUGAAUACUGAAUAAAUAAAGAGAAAUCCGGAUUACUAAAGGUCUAGAACACAGUGUCUGCGGAAUAAAACUAGAUAAAAACUUGUUUGCAAAAAUGUGAAGUACAUGCUACUUAUAGCAAAAUAUUCCGAAACCCUAAUACUUAAAACGACGCAGUAUUGGGACGGAUUAAGAAUUGUACUCGACCCAGGUGGUCGAGUGGGAGGUCGAGUUAAUAGAUGGAGUCUUCUUUUCUUCCUUGUGCUCGAGUGUCUGGUUGAGUGCGGAAUGAAGAAGACUCUGAAGCUCGCAAUCGAGUAUGUAGCCGAGUGGUGGUGAUGGUGAUACUCGAUUUCAAGGUAGAGUGGUGAGAUCGAGUGGUUGUCUGGUAAUGGUGGUGAAGACACUCGACCUCGGGGUCGAGUGAGGUGAUCGAGUGAUGGUCAGGUGAUGGAGAUGAAGACACUCGACCUCGUGGUCGAGUGGUGAGGUGAAUUUGUGAUGUCCUCUACUCGACCAGGGGGUCGAGUGGUCUUCUGAGGUUGUGAAGCGUCUACUCGACAUGGGAGUCGAGUGGUUUUACAUGAUCAGAUCCGCUUCUUCCAAUUAGCUCGUCAACAGCUCCGAAUCACCUGAAAACAACACAAAUAUGCAACAUGCAUGCAAAACUAUCCUAAACAUGCAAAGUGAUGACAAAUGAUGAGAAAUGGUAUAAAAAGUGAUGAUAUGAUGCUAAAGUGAUGACAAAUGGAUGCUCAAAACAUGCAAAAUACACACUUAUCAACUCCUUCAAACGUAGUCUUUGCUUGCCCUCAAGCAAACAAUCAAGAACAAGCUGGAAGUGAGGUUUGAAAGCGGGGACUAAGAGCCAAAGCACCAGAUAAACAAGAUGAAAUCAAUCUCCAAGUUGAAAGUUCUAAUCUACAAUAUGAUCGAAUUCUACUCAAAAACGUUAGCCAUACCUCAUUAUCAAUCAAUCUGACUCAUAUGCUCGACCUACACAUGUUUUCAAAUCUAUCAAUCCCUUUAACAUUCAUUAGUUUUGUAACAUGAAUCAAGCAAUGCAUCAUCAAUGAACUCAUUUGGCUAAGGUAAAAGGUCAAGAGACAAAGAUGGUCCCUUACAGAAUAGGCUUCAGUAACAGGGGAUCUCUCAAAAAAUGAUUAAGCUUUAGUAGAAUGCUAAAGGUAAGUCCCAAGCUAUGCAUACAGAGAUAAGAUCCCAUCUACCCAGAGUAUAUCAAAUGAAGCUCUAAUGGUAAUCCCAUCUCCAAUCCCAAUAUAAGAACUUAACUCUACCCUUUGCAUUCAUGAAUCUUUUAAGCCCUUUUUCUAAUCAUUCUUUUCUUUUCUCUUAACUCUAGGAGAAGCUUUCUCAACACUUUGAUACAUCUAGCGGAUUUGGAUUUCUUUAACAACUAAGAUUCCUGUUUUUAACAUUUUAAAACCAAGGGGUUUUGCCCAUCUUCAAUAGAUAACAAAACUCUUUCUUUUCUUUACAAAUCCCAAAACCUUUACUAGACUUUUUCUGCUUCUUUAGCUUACUUCACCUAGAGUCUUCUACCUUUUCUUAUCAAUGAAUCAACCUUUUUUUUUU